AAUAAGAUGCCUGAAUAAAGGGUUAUUUUGAUAGAAUAAAUUAUAUGCUUAGCAUUCUUAUUA
Molecule: transfer RNA, 63 nt
Filed under: Atkinsoniella grahami
Lineage: Eukaryota; Metazoa; Arthropoda; Insecta; Hemiptera; Cicadellidae
Also listed under: 1 other name
Description: tRNA-Ile
Source: RNAcentral